UACGGAGGGUGCAAGCGUUAUCCGGAUUCACUGGGUUUAAAGGGUGCGUAGGUGGGUCUGUAAGUCAGUGGUGAAAUCUCCAAGCUUAACUUGGAAACUGCCGUUGAUACUAUAGACCUUGAAUGCUGUGGAGGUGAGCGGAAUAUGUCAUGUAGCGGUGAAAUGCUUAGAUAUGACAUAGAACACCAAUUGCGAAGGCAGCUCACUACCCAGAUAUUGACACUGAGGCACGAAAGCGUGGGGAUCAAACAGG
This 253-nucleotide ribosomal RNA is filed under the name uncultured bacterium. Its description in RNAcentral is "partial 16S ribosomal RNA". It matches the Rfam family "Bacterial small subunit ribosomal RNA", at positions 524 to 776 of the family's 1533-position model. The record is from RNAcentral. RNAcentral also lists the same sequence under 1 other name.